This 497-nucleotide ribosomal RNA is filed under the name uncultured bacterium. RNAcentral's name for it is "partial 16S ribosomal RNA". It matches the Rfam family "Bacterial small subunit ribosomal RNA", at positions 28 to 507 of the family's 1533-position model. The record is from RNAcentral.
GAUGAACGCUGGCGGCGUGCCUAAUACAUGCCAGUCGAGCGAACGGACGAGGAGCUUGCUCCUCUGACGUUAGCGGCGGACGGGUGAGUAACACGUGGAUAACCUACCUAUAAGACUGGGAUAACUUCGGGAAACCGGGGCUAAUACCGGAUAAUAUAUUGAACCGCAUGGUUCAAUAGUGAAAGACGGUCUUGCUGUCACUUAUAGAUGGAUCCGCGCCGCAUUAGCUAGUUGGUAAGGUAACGGCUUACCAAGGCGACGAUGCGUAGCCGACCUGAGAGGGUGAUCGGCCACACUGGAACUGAGACACGGUCCAGACUCCUACGGGAGGCAGCAGUAGGGAAUCUUCCGCAAUGGGCGAAAGCCUGACGGAGCAACGCCGCGUGAGUGAUGAAGGUCUUCGGAUCGUAAAACUCUGUUAUUAGGGAAGAACAAAUGUGUAAGUAACUAUGCACGUCUUGACGGUACCUAAUCAGAAAGCCACGGCUAACUACGUG